AUGGUUUAGCCAGGGAUUUAGGCGGGUCGGGUUAGGGUAUUAGGUUUAGAUCUUUUACAUAUGUAAAUGGAAUAACAAAGCUUGGUGGACACCUGUAUAUAUGAAUUUAGGGUUACAGUUAUAGGGUUAGGGGUUAGAAGUUAACAGUUAGGGACUUAGGGUUUAGAUCUUAUUUAGUUUUUUUAAUUUAUAUUUUAAAUAUGUUCUUACAUUUUUG
RNAcentral lists this long non-coding RNA (217 nucleotides) under Gossypium barbadense (sea-island cotton). RNAcentral describes it as "long non-coding RNA (GBAR_LNC013335)". Lineage: Eukaryota; Viridiplantae; Streptophyta; Magnoliopsida; Malvales; Malvaceae. The record is from RNAcentral.